This 749-nucleotide ribosomal RNA is filed under the name uncultured Bacilli bacterium. Its description in RNAcentral is "bacterial SSU rRNA". It matches the Rfam family "Bacterial small subunit ribosomal RNA", at positions 28 to 737 of the family's 1533-position model. The record is from RNAcentral. Lineage: Bacteria; Bacillati; Bacillota; Bacilli.
GACGAACGCUGGCGGCGUGCCUAAUACAUGCAAGUCGAGCGAGCUUGCCUAGAUGAAUUUGGUGCUUGCACCAAAUGAAACUAGAUACAAGCGAGCGGCGGACGGGUGAGUAACACGUGGGUAACCUGCCCAAGAGACUGGGAUAACACCUGGAAACAGAUGCUAAUACCGGAUAACAACACUAGACGCAUGUCUAGAGUUUAAAAGAUGGUUCUGCUAUCACUCUUGGAUGGACCUGCGGUGCAUUAGCUAGUUGGUAAGGUAGCGGCUUACCAAGGCAAUGAUGCAUAGCCGAGUUGAGAGACUGAUCGGCCACAUUGGGACUGAGACACGGCCCAAACUCCUACGGGAGGCAGCAGUAGGGAAUCUUCCACAAUGGACGCAAGUCUGAUGGAGCAACGCCGCGUGAGUGAAGAAGGGUUUCGGCUCGUAAAGCUCUGUUGGUAGUGAAGAAAGAUAGAGGUAGUAACUGGCCUUUAUUUGACGGUAAUUACUUAGAAAGUCACGGCUAACUACGUGCCAGCAGCCGCGGUAAUACGUAGGUGGCAAGCGUUGUCCGGAUUUAUUGGGCGUAAAGCGAGUGCAGGCGGUUCAAUAAGUCUGAUGUGAAAGCCUUCGGCUCAACCGGAGAAUUGCAUCAGAAACUGUUGAACUUGAGUGCAGAAGAGGAGAGUGGAACUCCAUGUGUAGCGGUGGAAUGCGUAGAUAUAUGGAAGAACACCAGUGGCGAAGGCGGCUCUCUGGUCUGC